Molecule: ribosomal RNA, 274 nt
Filed under: uncultured bacterium
Lineage: Bacteria
Description: partial 16S ribosomal RNA
Rfam family: Bacterial small subunit ribosomal RNA
Source: RNAcentral
AUACGGAGGGUGCAAGCGUUAUUCGGAAUCACUGGGCGUAAAGCGCGCGCAGGCGGCUAUUUAAGUUGGAUGUGAAAGCCUACGGCUCAACCGUAGAACUGCAUCCAAAACUAUUUAGCUAGAGUGUGGGAGAGGAAGAUGGAAUUAGUUGUGUAGGGGUAAAAUCCGUAGAGAUAACUAGGAAUACCAAAAGCGAAGGCAAUCUUCUGGAACACUACUGACGCUGAGGCGCGAAAGCGUGGGGAGCAAACAGGAUUAGAUACCCCAGUAGUCC